RNAcentral lists this ribosomal RNA (669 nucleotides) under uncultured fungus. Its description in RNAcentral is "eukaryotic LSU rRNA". It matches the Rfam family "Eukaryotic large subunit ribosomal RNA", at positions 24 to 664 of the family's 3401-position model. Lineage: Eukaryota; Fungi. The record is from RNAcentral.
CCCGCUGAACUUAAGCAUAUCAACAAGCGGAGGAAAAGAAGCUAACAAGGAUUCCCCUAGUAACUGCGAGUGAAGCGGGAAGAGCUCAAAUUUAAAAUCUGGCGGUCUCGCGGCCGUCCGAGUUGUAAUCUGGAGAAGCGUUUUCCGCGUCGGACCGUGUACAAGUCUUCUGGAACGGAGCGUCGUAGAGGGUGAGAAUCCCGUCUCUGACACGGACAGCCGAUGCUUCAUGUGAUACGCUCUCGAAGAGUCGAGUUGUUUGGGAAUGCAGCUCAAAAUGGGUGGUAAAUUCCAUCUAAAGCUAAAUAUUGGCGAGAGACCGAUAGCGAACAAGUACCGUGAGGGAAAGAUGAAAAGCACUUUGGAAAGAGAGUUAAACAGUACGUGAAAUUGUUGAAAGGGAAACGUUUGAAGUCAGUCGCGUCGGCCGAGACUCAACCCCACCUUUUGGCAGGGCGCAAUUCUCGGUCGACGGGUCAGCAUCAAUUUCGAUCGUCGGAUAAAGGUCGAGGGAACGUGGCAUCCUCCGGGGUGUGUUAUAGCCCUCGGUUCCGCAUGCGACGGUUGGGAUUGAGGAACUCAGCGCGCCUUUAUGGUCGGGGUAGCAACCCACGUAACGCGCUCAGGAUGCUGGCAUAAUGGCUUUAAGCGACCCGUCUUGAAACACGG